CCAAACUUGGUCAUUUAGAGGAAGUAAAAGUCGUAACAAGGUUUCCGUAGGUGAACCUGCGGAAGGAUCAUUACGCAUUGCGGGUAGGGCUUCGGCCCCUCCCGCCCCGAUUCGUCGGGACCCCUUGUUUAUGAGCACUGUAUGUUUCCUCGGUGGGCUUGCCUGCCAAUGGGGACCUCAAAAACCUUUUGUAAUAAGCAGUAUUCGUACAAAACUAUAAAUUUAUCACAACUUUCAACAAUGGAUCUCUUGGCUCUGGCAUCGAUGAAGAACGCAGC
This 278-nucleotide unclassified non-coding RNA is filed under the name uncultured fungus. RNAcentral's name for it is "partial contains small subunit ribosomal RNA, internal transcribed spacer 1, and 5.8S ribosomal RNA". The stretch from base 1 to 73 matches the Rfam family "Eukaryotic small subunit ribosomal RNA", at positions 1759 to 1831 of the family's 1831-position model. Lineage: Eukaryota; Fungi. The record is from RNAcentral.